Molecule: long non-coding RNA, 279 nt
Organism: Suricata suricatta (meerkat)
Lineage: Eukaryota; Metazoa; Chordata; Mammalia; Carnivora; Herpestidae
Exons: 2
Source: RefSeq, a predicted model, not a curated record
CCUGUUACUGCGUAAGAAACCAACCCGGAACUUAACGACGCACAACCAUGGCAUUCAACCAGAUGGAGACGCAGACAGCAAAUGUACCCCCCCAAAGUGGGGGAGCGUCAUGUAUGUCCAGGGAAGAGGGACUUACCACGGCCAUCCUUGGUGGCAAGUCGCCACGACAUAGAAGGACAGGCGAUGGUUCCGAGAACAGGCGACCGGCGCCCUCCCCCUCGCCAGUCCCUGUCUCCAUGCACUUAGCACCAUUUCUAAUUAAAUAUUCCUUUGACUGGU